RNAcentral lists this ribosomal RNA (498 nucleotides) under uncultured bacterium. RNAcentral describes it as "partial 16S ribosomal RNA". It matches the Rfam family "Bacterial small subunit ribosomal RNA", at positions 29 to 523 of the family's 1533-position model. The record is from RNAcentral.
AUUGAACGCUGGCGGCAUGCCUUACACAUGCAAGUAGAACGGUAACGCGGGGCAACCUGGCGACGAGUGGCGAACGGGUGAGUAAUACAUCGGAACGUGCACAGAAGUGGGGGAUAGCCCGGCGAAAGCCGGAUUAAUACCGCAUGAGACCUGAGGGUGAAAGCGGGGGAUCGCAAGACCUCGCGCUUUUGGAGCGGCCGAUGUCAGAUUAGCUAGUUGGUGGGGUAAAGGCCUACCAAGGCGACGAUCUGUAGCUGGUCUGAGCGGACGACCAGCCACACUGGGACUGAGACACGGCCCAGACUCCUACGGGAGGCAGCAGUGGGGAAUUUUGGACAAUGGGCGCAAGCCUGAUCCAGCCAUGCCGCGUGCGGGAAGAAGGCCUUCGGGUUGUAAACCGCUUUUGUCAGGGAAGAAACGCUCUGGGCUAAUACCCUGGGGUAAUGACGGUACCUGAAGAAUAAGCACCGGCUAACUACGUGCCAGCCGCCGCCGUAA